UUGCACCCCCACACCCAAGUGAGCAGCUUGCUCACUCCUCAGCUGCAGGAGACAGACGUGUGGAGUCCCAGCAGAGGCCAACCUGUGUCUCUUCAUCUCCCUGGGAAAGGUGCCCCCGAGGUGAAUGAGAUGGCCUGGUGGAAAGCCUGGAUUGAACAGGAGGGUGUCACAGUGAAGAGCAGCUCCCACUUCAACCCAGACCCUGAUGCAGAGACCCUCUACAAAGCCAUGAAGGGGAUCGGGACCAACGAGCAGGCUAUCAUCGAUGUGCUCACCAAGAGAAGCAACGCGCAGCGGCAGCAGAUCGCCAAGUCCUUCAAGGCUCAGUUCGGCAAGGCAAGGGGAAGGCUGGUGGGGGUGGGGAUAGGUGAGCCUUGGGGUUGGGGGUAUAGCCUGGGAGGCAGCUCCAUUCUGGACGACUUUCCCCUAGAGCCAGCCUACUGGCAGCAUGAGCACAUGGAACCUGUUUGCACGAAAACAAUUGUUCUUUAUUGAAAUUCAAAUGUAACUGGCCGCCCUGUGUUUUAUCUGGCAGAUCUACUUUUAGGUGUCAGAGCCCGACCGGCCAGGGGCUGGCCUUCCCUGCUUCCUUUCCUGCCUCCUCUCUCACAGCAUUCCUUCUCGUGCACCCAACAGGCCCCACUGGAGGUCUGUCUCCCUGCCCCCAGGCUAUCUCGCCCUGCCCUCUGAGCCCAGACCACCUUCUCUUUUCCAUGCCCCAGGCAUGCAGGCCUGGCUUUGCUCUGUUCUGGGGCAUGGGCACGCUUUCCUCAGUCGAGCUGCUUGCACCCACACCUCGUCCCUUCUGCCACCUGGGAAUUCUAAGAGCCUGGAGUAAGCAUGCCAGGCCCUUUGUUUCUCCUCCCACCUGCACUCCACCCCUAGGACAAAGCCUGACAUUUGGGGGUACACAGUAAACACAGGAUUAAAUAUGUGCGUAGCCAUGGUUGCCUCAAGCCUCUAGUGACUCAUAUCAUUAGUUUGGAGAUGUAACGAAGGAAGAUCAGCUCAAAUAUUCUCUUGGAGAACCCAGUGUGCAUUUUUACAGUUUCCCUCUCUUAGUCCUCACAGCUAUACAUUCUUUGUAUUCAAACAUUUGGGGAAACUGGCGCUCAGCGAGGUUUUAAGUUGCCCAAGGUCCCAGAGCCUGUAAUCAACAAGGUGGGGAUUAAAAUCCAGGUCUGACAAAGCCUUUGAUCUCUCUGCUGCUCUGUAG
Molecule: small RNA, 1216 nt
Filed under: Pongo abelii (Sumatran orangutan)
Lineage: Eukaryota; Metazoa; Chordata; Mammalia; Primates; Hominidae
Description: retained intron
Source: RNAcentral